GAGGGUAUAGCUCAAUGCUAGAGUGCUUAGCAUGCACAAGGUCCUGGGUUCAAUUCCCAGUACCUUCA
RNAcentral lists this transfer RNA (68 nucleotides) under Camelus bactrianus (Bactrian camel). It matches the Rfam family "tRNA". Rfam says of the family: Transfer RNA (tRNA) molecules are approximately 80 nucleotides in length. Their secondary structure includes four short double-helical elements and three loops (D, anti-codon, and T loops). The record is from Rfam by way of RNAcentral. RNAcentral also lists the same sequence under 2 other names. Lineage: Eukaryota; Metazoa; Chordata; Mammalia; Artiodactyla; Camelidae.